RNAcentral lists this ribosomal RNA (476 nucleotides) under uncultured bacterium. Its description in RNAcentral is "bacterial SSU rRNA". It matches the Rfam family "Bacterial small subunit ribosomal RNA", at positions 1 to 526 of the family's 1533-position model. The record is from RNAcentral.
UAGUGAGUUUGAUCCUGGCUCAGGAUGAACGCUGGCGGUCUGCUUAACACAUGCAAGUCGAACGCAAGUAGAAAUACUUGAGUGGCGGACGGGUGAGUAACGCGUGAGAAUCUGCCUUCUGGUCGGGGACAACCACUGGAAACGGUGGCUAAUACCGGAUAUGCCUAUGGGUGAAAGAUUAAUUGCCAGAAGAAGAGCUCGCGUCCGAUUAGCUAGUUGGUGGGGUAAUGGCUCACCAAGGCGACGAUCGGUAGCUGGUCUGAGAGGAUGAUCAGCCACACUGGAACUGAGACACGGUCCAGACUCCUACGGGAGGCAGCAGUGGGGAAUUUCCGCAAUGGGCGAAAGCCUGACGGAGCAAGACCGCGUGUGAGACGAAGGCUCUUGGGGUCGUAAAACCACUUUUGUCAGGAAGAACACAAUGACGUGCCUGACGAUAGCCUCGGCUAACUCCGUGCCAGCAGCCGCGGUAAUCU